This 116-nucleotide ribosomal RNA is filed under the name Bacillus sp. BGMRC 2118. The record is from RNAcentral. Lineage: Bacteria; Bacillati; Bacillota; Bacilli; Caryophanales; Bacillaceae.
UUUGGUGAUGAUGGCGAAGAGGUCACACCCGUUCCCAUUCCGAACACGGAAGUUAAGCUCUUCAGCGCCGAUGGUAGUUGGGACUUUGUCCCUGUGAGAGUAGGACGUCGCCAAGC